Long non-coding RNA from Entelurus aequoreus (snake pipefish), 870 nucleotides. RefSeq lists it as uncharacterized. Lineage: Eukaryota; Metazoa; Chordata; Actinopteri; Syngnathiformes; Syngnathidae. The transcript is spliced from 8 exons. The record is from RefSeq and is a predicted model, not a curated record.
CCGGAAGUGGUGUAAAGUAUAUCCUGAAUCAGUUCGGGCCUGGGCGUCAAAGAUGGAGGAGCACGCUGGUUACACGAAGCUGCGUGCAAAACUAUGGCCCUUAAAUGUAUAUUAUACUUCUUUUCUAGUGCUAUUAGUGACAUAACAAACUGCUUUUAUUUUAUUUAUUUAAUUUCUCUGAAUCAGCGCUCAUGUGUCGCCGGUUGCGUCAUCAGCAAGACUUGGCUGCGUCGCUGGAAAAAACGCCUAAAGAAUUAAUGUCAAAGCGCCAGCCACGUGGCCACGUGGCCCACACGUGUGAAGGCCUGCCAGCAUUAAAGUGAAUGAACAUCAAAAUAGUUUGGUCAGCCACGGUCAUAAGUCGUGGACUAUUAUUGUGAAGGCCUACCAGCAUGAGGCUUCAUUAAGUGAAUGACUGUCAAACUUGAUUGGUCAGCCACUGUCAUAAGUCGUGGACUAUUAUUGUGAAGGCCUGCCAGCAUGAGGCUUCAUUAAGUGAAUGAAUAUCAAACUAGAUUGGUCAGCCACUGUCAUAAGUCAUGGACUAUUAUUGUGAAGGCCUGCCAGCAUGAGGCUUCACUAAGUGAAUGAAUGUCAAAUGAGUUUGGCCAGCCACGGUCCUAAGUCGUGGACUAUUAUUGUGAAGGCCUGCCAGUACGAGGCUUCUAAUAGUGAAUGAACGUCAAACUAGUUUGGUCAGCCACUGUCGUGGACUAUUAUUGUGAAGGCCUGCCAACAUGAUGCUUUAUCAAGUAUGCCACUUCAGGAUCGCUUGAAGAAUGCUGCUUAACCCCAACAAGGAAUCAAUAAAGUAUCUAUCAAGCAAUGAAACACUUGUCUAGUUGUGUAAUUGUGAGCAUGAAAUGCGGU